GUUGUUGUCGUGACUUUUCUACCAAGCUCAUCCAAAGUGCAAUAUUGUUGUGUGAUUUUACUUUAUACACGUGCUUUAGAUAGAUGAUAACACAAAUUACUAUCAAGAUAGAUAAACAGAAGCUAAAUUUUAUUUACAAUUUAAGUAUCCAAAUAUUGUAUGCUUUGUCAUUACAUAAUUCAACCGACUAGAUCUACAACAACCUAUUCUCGGGAACCAGGUUCUGUAACCAACAUCCUACAGACACUUGGCUGGCCAACACUAGCAACACGCAGACAAGGAGCCAGGCUUAUACUCCUAUAUAAGAUCCUGCAUGGAGAAGCAUCAGUCAUUAUCCCAGAUUACAUCAGGAGACCAACUGUAACAACCAGACAAUAUCACAGGCACAGAGACAGGUUUUCCAGAGUCAGCACUUCAACGGAUGCCUAUAAAUACAGUUUCAUCCCCAGAACAAAUUUUUGACUGGAACCAAUUAUCUGAAAGUGCCAUCCAAGCCCCCACAACAGACGCCUUCCGGGUCUGUGUGUGGCAGUUCCUGGCAUUAACCACAAAAUAUAGAAGAAGAAGUACAAUAAACACCAGACAACAGGAAUGACAGGAUAUAUCUUCUGGGGGAUGGAUGGUAACUGAAUCAAUACAAAUAGCCUCAUUGAAUUUGAAAAAGCUGCAAAUGAUAUCAGUAACAAAAGAUUGUUAGUGUGCAGUGUGCAGACAGUGGUUAAACAGAAGUUAACAUUCUAUCAGUUUUGGGAUUUUACAAUCAGCUAGAGGAAAUAAUAGGAGAAAAAGGGACCUGUGUGGUAAAAACUUCCUAAAAGUCGUCCUUUAUGUGUUCAACUUUUUCUUUUGGCUGACAGCCCGGUUAGCUUUCCUAGCAUUAGGGUUAUAUAUCAAGUUCCAGAAGCAUACCUAUAUCAAUCUGCUAGGGAACAGUACUUUCCCUUUGGCAACAUACUUGCUACUAGGAACAGGAGCCUUUAUUAUCUUGACAGGAAUCAUUAGUUGUACUGGGACAUGUAUAGAAAAUAGAUGUUUUAUGGUUAUGGUUGGAAGAGAAUGAUGAACUAUACAUAUCUGGGAUACAGAAUCAAUGAAACAUCUUCAGUACUGAAAGGUCAACAUCAAAGAGGGGUCUGUGCUGUAGACUUCUCAGGUAUUUAUUGUUUGUUCAUUUUCAAUCUUAAUACAAAAAAAUUAUGCAGAUUGAAACAUGACAGGAUAUUUUUGGUGGUUAACCUUGUAAUGAUUUUGACUGGAACAAAAGAAUGAAUGUCAGGAAAAUCAGGAAAAUAAGAUUAUAAGUACAGCUAGUAUGGGAAUAAAACCUGGAAUUUUAUCACCAGAUCUGGUUGGACUUGGAUAUUUGUUGAUUUGUUACUGCCUGAAAAUUAUCUUCUACAGUGAUACUUAAUUUAUUGCCACCUUUUGGAACAUGUACAAUACUAUCGACAAGUCAGGAUGGCAGUAUAUCAAAGUAGAAAUUUAUAUAAAAACUGCACACAUUUGAGAAAAGUUGACUCUAGGAUUAUUCUGUAAAUUCGUAUUGGCAUGCGUAGGCACCGGACACAUCCAUCUAGAACACCAAUACCAAUAUUUAAUAUUCAAAUAGUUCCAGUGUAAUGCUGUGUGUUAUUCAAGAAAUAGAGUUAAUUAAUUGUCUAUACAAUUUUAUACCCUUAAAGGACACUUGCUAUAAAUAAUAAAAACGAAUGGCAAUACAACUAUAUCAAAGUAAGAAGAUAUAUAUUCCUUGAUAAUUAUCAGAUGUAGGCUUAUCAGACUUUUCUUCCCCGAUCUUCCUGAUUCGCAGCGGGAGCUUUGCGUGUAUAUAGCCUUUGAUUUUCAUAUAGUGUGAACAAUGUAUUUCUUCCACUGA
This is a long non-coding RNA of Mytilus californianus (California mussel), 1876 nucleotides long. RefSeq lists it as uncharacterized. The transcript is spliced from 5 exons. The record is from RefSeq and is a predicted model, not a curated record. Lineage: Eukaryota; Metazoa; Mollusca; Bivalvia; Mytilida; Mytilidae.